This 26-nucleotide non-coding RNA is filed under the name Callithrix jacchus (white-tufted-ear marmoset). The record is from RNAcentral. RNAcentral also lists the same sequence under 2 other names. Lineage: Eukaryota; Metazoa; Chordata; Mammalia; Primates; Cebidae.
CAUGAUACUGUAAACGCUUUCUGAUG